RNAcentral lists this ribosomal RNA (439 nucleotides) under uncultured bacterium. RNAcentral describes it as "partial 16S ribosomal RNA". It matches the Rfam family "Bacterial small subunit ribosomal RNA", at positions 339 to 795 of the family's 1533-position model. The record is from RNAcentral.
CUACGGGCGGCUGCAGUGAGGAAUAUUGCACAAUGGGGGGAACCCUGAUGCAGCAACGCCGCGUGGAGGAUGACGCAUUUCGGUGUGUAAACUCCUUUUAUAUGUCAAGAAAAUGACGGUAGCAUAUGAAUAAGCACCGGCUAACUCCGUGCCAGCAGCCACGGUAAUACGGAGGGUGCAAGCGUUACUCGGAAUCACGGGGCGUAAAGGACGCGUAGGCGGGUUGGAAAGUCAGGUGUGAAAUCCUACAGCUUAACUGUAGAACUGCACUUGAAACUUCUAAUCUAGAGUAUGGGAGGGGGAGAUGGAAUUAGUGGUGUAGGGGUAAAAUCCGUAGAUAUCACUAGGAAUACCUAAAGCGAAGGCGAUCUCCUGGAACAUUACUGACGCUAAGGCGUGAAAGCGUGGGGAGCAAACAGGAUUAGAUACCCCCGUAGUC